AUGACCGCCGUCGGGAGCCGAUGCUGCACCUACUCCUUCGACACCAAACAGUGUGUGUGGAUGUGGCAUGGGGACUGGGCGUUGCCUUUCCAAGGCCAGGGCUGCUUCGACAUCGAGCUGGACACGACAUGUGCCAGGGAGCCGGACUGGAAGAUGGUCAAGGAGAAGCUGUUCCUCAAGGACCGGCGAAGCACCGCCACCCUCACCUACAUGGGUGACACCAAGUUUUGCCUUGUGGGGUGUGUGUUACGCGAGGGACUGGAGCUUCAGGAUGCCGUUGGCGACUCUGCUGGGUUCAUGCUCCAUAUCACCAUGUUCGGCCUCAAGUAUAGCCGUGAGGGCGAGCUGCAAACCACAAUCCACCGCACAGCUAAAUCCUAUCGGGUCUCUAAGCAUGGGAUGUUCCUCCUCUCUUGUCUACAACUCGCCUAUCUCUGUACCAGCUCUUGGUCUACAACUCGCCUAUCUCCAUGCUCGAGACGACCAAGCUCGAUGCGCAAGCCGCAUAUGUCUGCUAGAGCUAUAUCCAGGCCCUAUGAUUUUUGGAUCACUGGCACUAUGGGUGCCAGGACCGGAGUCGCCCUCAUCCACCAAGUGGAUCAAGGAGGCCCACCACCUAGACUCUACAUCGCAACAUUUUGUGUUUUCCUAUAA
Molecule: ribosomal RNA, 654 nt
Filed under: Triticum aestivum (bread wheat)
Lineage: Eukaryota; Viridiplantae; Streptophyta; Magnoliopsida; Poales; Poaceae
Description: partial small subunit ribosomal RNA
Source: RNAcentral